Molecule: ribosomal RNA, 465 nt
Filed under: uncultured bacterium
Lineage: Bacteria
Description: partial 16S ribosomal RNA
Rfam family: Bacterial small subunit ribosomal RNA
Source: RNAcentral
GACGAACGCUGGCGGCGUGCUUAACACAUGCAAGUCGAACGGAAAGGCCCCUUUGGGGGUACUCGAUUGGCUAACGGGUGAGUAACACGUAAGUAACCUGCCCUCGACUGCGGUAUAACUUCAGUAAACUGGGUCUAAUACCUGAUAGGAAGCCGUGCCGCCUGGUUGGUGUUGGAAGGCUUCGGCGGGUGUGUGUGGAAGCGCGGGUUAUCAGCUUGUUGGUGGGGUAGUUGCUUACCAAGGCUUUGAUGGGUAGGCGGCCUGAGAGGGCGACCGGCCACAGUGGGACUGAGAUACCGGCCAGACCUCCAACGGAGGCAGGAGGGGGGAAUAUUGGACAAUGGGCGGGAGCCCGAUGCAGCCACGCCGCGUGCGGGAUGGCGGGCUUUGGGUUGUAAAACGGUUUCAGCCGGGGACAAGCUUGUGGUGACGGUAACUGCUGAAGAAGCACCGGCUAACUACGUG